AAGAUAAUGAUAUAAUAUCGAUUGUGAUAGUUGAGACGGUAGCUGUCAACUGCGAAAGGAUGGUGGUGCAUAUGUACCCAAGACUUGAGAAAGGACAGCUGUUCCAUGACGGUAUACGAAGCAUUGAGCUUAGUAAUCCAAUUCGGGACUUUACUGAUUACAUUAAUCAGUUUAU
This 175-nucleotide small RNA is filed under the name Ligilactobacillus hayakitensis DSM 18933 = JCM 14209. RNAcentral's name for it is "Lactobacillus hayakitensis DSM 18933 = JCM 14209 Listeria sRNA rli28". It matches the Rfam family "Listeria sRNA rli28". The record is from Rfam by way of RNAcentral. Lineage: Bacteria; Bacillati; Bacillota; Bacilli; Lactobacillales; Lactobacillaceae.